Molecule: long non-coding RNA, 1134 nt
Organism: Prunus avium (sweet cherry)
Lineage: Eukaryota; Viridiplantae; Streptophyta; Magnoliopsida; Rosales; Rosaceae
Source: RefSeq, a predicted model, not a curated record
UGAUGGGUCCGCCGAGGCCUAUACAACUCGUUUACUGCGACAAUAUUGGAAAGUUUCGAAUGGAUCAGGAAGCGUCUUAAUGCUCCAGCUCGUUAAGGAACCUAUCGGUAUAGUCGCGGUCUGUGGCCGUGCUCGCCAGGGCAAGAGCUUCAUUCGAAACGAGGACGUGUAUCUGGAUUUACCUGAGGAUAGUGGAAGGACAAUGCCCCGUGACUAUCUGGAGCUUGCUUUGAAGCCAGUUGAUGACAGAAAAAGGAUGUAGUUGCAAAAAAUGAGAUACGAGCCUCCAUUCGAGCUCUAUUUUCAGAUAGAGAAUGCUUCACCCUUGUACGGCCGUUGAACAACGAACAUGAUCUACAGAGAAUUAACGAAAUUCAGUUGGACAAAUUAAGGUCUGAAUUCAGAUCCGGGCUAGACGCAUUGACAAGGUUUGUUUUUGAAAGAACAAGGCCGAAGCAAGUUGGGGCGACUAUGAUGACGAGUCCAGUUGUCUUAUCUUGGUGCCUACCGUAUCCUCUUCAUGGCAGAGUGUCGAAGAAGAUGGGUGCCGAACAGCAUAUGAUUAUGCUCUUGAGGUGUAUAAGUCCGCUUUUCACCGUCCGAAAAAUCACGAAGAAAAAGAUAAGAAUCUUGUUCUUGCCUCAUAUAUAAUUGAAUUCUUUGUGAUAACAAAUAGUUUGUUGCAGUAUAUAUGGAUGUGUAUAUCUUAUUAGCGCAUCUCUUGUAUACUGGUCUUAUUCGUUUAAAUUGGCUACUCAUGCAGGAUUGUAAAAGGAAUGCAUAUAUGGAGGCAGAGUUGCAAUGUUCAAAUGCUAUACAAAGCAUGGAAAGGAAGCUGAGAAUAGCUUGCCAUGUUUUUAAGACUGCCAAAUCGAAAGUAGAUAGUUAUGAUGCUGAAAUAUCAUCGAUGAAGCUUGAAAUCAAGGACUUAAGUAAAAAACUAGAAGCUGCAAAUGCACAGGCCCACUCACUUGAGAGAGAAAAAAAAAGACUUGAUCAAAGUCCAAGAAAGGUGUAAAAUCGCCGAAAAACAAGUCACAAGGGCGACUGAUAUUGCCAAUAUAAAGCACGAGCUCAAGCGGAUGUUGCUCAAAAGGAAGCGUACAGAACAUAGAUGUAUUAUUGAAAAAUAAA